Long non-coding RNA from Girardinichthys multiradiatus, 466 nucleotides. RefSeq lists it as uncharacterized. The transcript is spliced from 2 exons. Lineage: Eukaryota; Metazoa; Chordata; Actinopteri; Cyprinodontiformes; Goodeidae. The record is from RefSeq and is a predicted model, not a curated record.
CUCCUUCUCAUUCUGGCAGCCAGGUCAGACUGCGGCUCAUUAGCAGAGAACGCGUGGCGUGUGACGUCAGUCAGGUGAAUUCCCGAGACACACGGGAGCACAAUAAAGAACGUAACAAUGUAGGAACUUGGAGGGGGAACAGGUACAAACUGGAGCCACCUGCCACAGGAUGUUGCCGGAGGAUUCAUUUCCCGGAAGAUCCAGAUUGACGUGGCUUCAUACAAGCCACAUCAGUCUGGUUGAUUUUUUUCCAGGGGAACGCUUUGCACCCAUUUUGAGAUAGUUAUUUUCAAUAAUCUGCUCAUAUUCUAGUGUAAGCAAAUGUGGUUAUGACUCCAAUAAAUAAUAUAUCCCCUACUCUGUAGAUAUUAUUUGAUUGGUUAUAAGUAUGUGCUUAAUCAUGUGUAUUUAUAUAAUGUUUUUAGAGAAAUGUAUAAAAUAAAAUAAAAUAAUCCAUAAAAAUAGA